Haliotis rufescens (red abalone) is the source of this 213-nucleotide long non-coding RNA. RefSeq lists it as uncharacterized. The record is from RefSeq and is a predicted model, not a curated record. The transcript is spliced from 4 exons. Lineage: Eukaryota; Metazoa; Mollusca; Gastropoda; Lepetellida; Haliotidae.
CAGGAGACAUGUGCUUUAUUUUCAACGAAAGAAGCUGGAGAGGAGCAGAGCCAUGUCCCACCUCAAUGCUGUUGGAUAUGCCAUACUGAUGCAGUCCAUGGAGACACAUUUGGUGACGAGGACAAGAGGUCCAAGACUUUAUGACAUCACAAAAAGAAAUCUGAUACUACCCGAUGUUGUACUACAAUUUGGACGUCCAAGGAACGACUAUUU